Molecule: ribosomal RNA, 268 nt
Filed under: uncultured bacterium
Lineage: Bacteria
Description: partial 16S ribosomal RNA
Rfam family: Bacterial small subunit ribosomal RNA
Source: RNAcentral
AACGAACGUUGGCGGCGUGGAUUAGGCAUGCAAGUCGCACGAGAAAGGUUUCGCAAGAGACCGAGUAAAGUGGCGGACGGGUGAGUAAUGCAUGGAUAACUUGCCCUUGAGAUGGGGAUAACAGUUCGAAAGGAUUGCUAAUACCCAGUGUCGUCGUGCUGCGAUGGUGGCACGAUGAAAGGAGGCCUCUGACUCAAGCUUCCGCUCAACGGAGAGGUUCAUGUCCUAUUAGCUAGUUGGUGAGGUAAUGGCUCACCAAGGCUGCGAU